Molecule: ribosomal RNA, 513 nt
Filed under: uncultured bacterium
Lineage: Bacteria
Description: partial 16S ribosomal RNA
Rfam family: Bacterial small subunit ribosomal RNA
Source: RNAcentral
UGGGGAAUAUUGCACAAUGGGCGCAAGCCUGAUGCAGCCAUGCCGCGUGUGUGAAGAAGGCCUUCGGGUUGUAAAGCACUUUCAGCGAGGAGGAAGGUGGUGGACUUAAUACGUUCAUCAAUUGACGUUACUCGCAGAAGAAGCACCGGCUAACUCCGUGCCAGCAGCCGCGGUAAUACGGAGGGUGCAAGCGUUAAUCGGAAUUACUGGGCGUAAAGCGCACGCAGGCGGUUUGUUAAGUCAGAUGUGAAAUCCCCGGGCUCAACCUGGGAACUGCAUUUGAAACUGGCAAGCUAGAGUCUCGUAGAGGGGGGUAGAAUUCCAGGUGUAGCGGUGAAAUGCGUAGAGAUCUGGAGGAAUACCGGUGGCGAAGGCGGCCCCCUGGACGAAGACUGACGCUCAGGUGCGAAAAGGCGUGGGGAGCAAAACAGGAUUAGAUACCCUGGUAGUCCACGCUGUAAACGAUGUCGAUUUUGGAGGUUGUGCCCUUGAGGCGUGGCUUCCGGAGCUAAC